Non-coding RNA from Pelobates cultripes (western spadefoot toad), 253 nucleotides. The record is from the annotation of a GenBank genome assembly. NCBI's taxonomy places the organism in Eukaryota, Metazoa, Chordata, Amphibia, Anura, Pelobatidae.
CGAUCACUUUGCAGUUUUGCAGGGUAUCGUGUGUCUUACUUCUUGUGGUAUUUUGAAACAAAGUUUUCUCUUCAAAUUCCUUUCCCCUUUUAUUGUUAAAGCAAAGUGGAAUUAGAACAUUCAGACCCAGAUUGUGCCAGUGCUUUCAUAUGGAUGGAUUUUUUUGUUGUUGGAAGAGGGGGUGGCCAGAGGGUACAACCCCAGCUUUAUUCCAAUUGCAACUCCCAUGAUGCUCAGUGUUGGCAAAGAUCAG